CCACUGUCCACCAGACUUUGAUCAUUCUUGCAAGAGAUUUCAUCCACGGUGACCAGGAUAUAUCACUAUUUGAGAAGCGGCACUUGACUUCAGAACACACAUUUCCUAUUGAAGGACUAUCGAUAGCGCUGGUGACUUUGGGUGUAUUUGUAAAGUGUAACUAUUGCUGUUGAUUGGGUCAGCAGAAGUUUUCUUUUGCAGGGGAUAAACACACACAAGUCUGCUGUGUCACUACUAAUGAAAUAACAUGCUUUAGCGAAUUACAAUUAGCGCUGCGGAAUCUGUUGGCGCUCUACAAAUAACCAAUAAUAAUAAUAAUAAUUACAGUGA
Long non-coding RNA from Bombina bombina (fire-bellied toad), 330 nucleotides. RefSeq lists it as uncharacterized. The transcript is spliced from 2 exons. NCBI's taxonomy places the organism in Eukaryota, Metazoa, Chordata, Amphibia, Anura, Bombinatoridae. The record is from RefSeq and is a predicted model, not a curated record.